This 502-nucleotide ribosomal RNA is filed under the name uncultured bacterium. Its description in RNAcentral is "partial 16S ribosomal RNA". It matches the Rfam family "Bacterial small subunit ribosomal RNA", at positions 28 to 507 of the family's 1533-position model. The record is from RNAcentral.
GACGAACGCUGGCGGCGUGCUUAACACAUGCAAGUCGAACGGUGAAGGGGUCUGCUUUUGUGGGCCCUGGAUGAGUGGCGAACGGGUGAGUAACACGUGAGUAACCUGCCCCCUUCUUCUGGAUAACCGCAUGAAAGUGUGGCUAAUACGGGAUAUUCUGGGUCUGUCGCAUGAUGGGUCUGGGAAAGAUUGCGCCUUUGGGUGUUUUUGGUGGGGGAUGGGCUCGCGGCCUAUCAGCUUGUUGGUGGGGUGAUGGCCUACCAAGGCGGUGACGGGUAGCCGGCCUGAGAGGGCGGACGGUCACACUGGGACUGAGACACGGCCCAGACUCCUACGGGAGGCAGCAGUGGGGAAUAUUGCACAAUGGGCGCAAGCCUGAUGCAGCGACGCCGCGUGAGGGAUGGAGGCCUUCGGGGUGUAAACCUCUUUCGCCAGUGAAGCAGGCCUGCUCCUUGUGGGUGGGUUGACGGUAGCUGGAUAAGAAGCGCCGGCUAACUACGUG